UUUAUAGUGGUUCGGAGCUUCCACUGCUCCUACAUCCACUCCCCAAAUCACCUUUGGGAAUUUUCACUAUAAUCCAAGAUUACAGUACGGUAGUUUUGCGAGUUCACUACCCAACUCGUUGUUUUACACCGGGCUCACAACAAACCCUAAAACCUCCAAUUUCACUUAGGCUUGGGACGCCUUUCCCUUCUUCCAAGUCCCUUGACUGGAACAAGCACCACAACGAAAGAGUUUACAAAAGAAAGGAAAAGCUCUAAAAAGCAAAUAUUGCAAUUAUGAACAAUAGAACCCGGAAAAAUCCUUUUGCCGUUGGAAGCGUGGGAGAUAUUGAUUCUUCCGAUGUGGAGCGCGUAGGAUUGAGUGUGAGCUUUUAAUCCCAAGCGCACGAGAGUGAUUGAGCUUGAAAUCACUUGGGAAGCUUGAAAACACUUGAUUUCUUCACUUGAAUGCACUCACUCCCUUGAACUUUUCUUUCUUACUUCUCUCUUGAAUGAUCUAGCUUUUGGUUGGUGAAGAGUUGUUGAGAAGCACUUAAGAGGUCCCUUUUAUAGCCCAAAAAAGCAAAUAUAGCUGUUAGAGACAAAGUAAAAAGGAUUUGAAAUUCAAACCAAACCUAAAAAGCUGUCAGUCGCGUCCCAGGCGCUCCGGGGACGUCUCCGCUUCAACGAGAGACGUCUCGGCUACAAGAUUUCACUUUUUACGUUGUCUGGGGUCGACUCGGCACUUUAAGGGGACGUCUCGGCUUGUUUGUACUUUUUGAAUAGGGACGACUCCGCUGCUUUGGGGACGACU
This 792-nucleotide long non-coding RNA is filed under the name Phoenix dactylifera (date palm). RNAcentral describes it as "long non-coding RNA (PDAC_LNC014868)". Lineage: Eukaryota; Viridiplantae; Streptophyta; Magnoliopsida; Arecales; Arecaceae. The record is from RNAcentral.